Molecule: long non-coding RNA, 2216 nt
Organism: Sardina pilchardus (European sardine)
Lineage: Eukaryota; Metazoa; Chordata; Actinopteri; Clupeiformes; Clupeidae
Exons: 10
Source: RefSeq, a predicted model, not a curated record
CUGAACACAUUUGCUCAUUGCCAUUGAGUAGCUUACACGUGUCUACAUAGUAUCAGUUAAGACGAGCAUUGUUGAAUUAUCAUCAAAUAUGAUCAAAAAUGUUGGUCUUCUCGUGUUUUUCAUGGUGUGUUUGGCCCUAGCUCAGACUACGGAUCCACCGUUUUGAACCUGGGGACACACAUUUCCUUCUUUCAAAUACUGCGAAGAACAUGGACAUUUUUGGCUUAAUGGAUGAUGAAAAUGCUUCAGAUGGGUCCGGGGACAUACAUUUCCUGCUUUCAAAUAAUGCGACUGAUCAAGAUAAAUAUGCCGACUUGGACAGUUUGACCGAUGACGAGAUGCCAUGUGAUGGAAUAUGCCUCUGCAAAGCGCUAUUGACUCACAUUGUCAAACAGUUGCCGACAAAUGGCUCAGAACCUGAGGCUCAUUUAAAAAGUGUGAUACAUGACGCCUGUGAAAAGAUCAAAGUGCCGACAGAUAAAUGCACUGAAUUUGUGAAAACUCUCCAUAAGGUGGAACCUACCAAAGCUCCCAGUGGUGUGUAAUACCACAGAUGGUGCAUUCAUGGAUACAGUGCUUGAAGUGGGCGCACAACACAGGAACAAUGAUAUUGAGGAAUUAUACAGUAGGAUAUACUGUAUCAGAUAUACUGAGGACAAUUGGACAUACAACCUUGUGUCCACACAUUCAUUUUCUAUGCUGUUUGGCUGCAUACUAAAUACACAGACCACACACUUUUUGUUGAUAUCCCUGUAAAAUGAAAAAAAUAAAAAACAAUGUGAUUAUCUAAAAAAAUAUUUCGCUGCAAAAAGGACAUAUUAACAUGCAAACAUAGAGACAAAGCUGGGACAGCUAGGGGCAACAAAAGGCUGGAGAAGUUGUUUAAUGAUAAAGAUAAUGAUCAAUAUAAAAAGAGCAUCCCAGAGGAAGAAUCUCUCUGAAAGUAAAGAUGUAGAGGUGUUCACUAAUCUGUGCAAACCUGUGUGGGUAAAUCAUGAAGCAAUAGUACAGUAAUAUGCCUCGUAUGAAAUUGGGAAUUUCAUCAUCUACCGUGCAUAAUAUACAAAUAUUCAGAGAAAAUCCAGAAAAAUCUUUUCAGGACUGAAAAACCGUAUUGGAUGGCUGUAGUCCUCUGGACCUCAGGUGCCGUGGCACUGCAUCAAAACCAGACUGACUGAGUUAAAGUGGAAAACUGUUCUGUGGUUACAGACACAUUAAAACCAGACCUGUGGACCGAGUUAAGGUGGAAAACUGUCCUGUGGUUACCGACACAUCAAAAUUUGCCGUUCUUUUUGGGAAAUCAGUCAAGAGACGCAGCUUUUUACAAAAACAUUUCAUUUGUUAUUGUUCUUAAGUUUCUAAGCAGGAUAUAUAUAAAAAGUUCAUAUCAAACUACCUAGUGCUUGGCAGACUUCAGACAGCCUGGGGUUAACCAUGCAAAAAAAAGAGAAAAAACAGUUCAAGGUUCUCUCCUCCUUCUACAGCUGUAGCCUACCCCUGUAAAACUGUUCCGACUGAACAAAUUUGCUCAUUGCCAUUGAGUAGCUUACACAUGUCUACAUAGUAUCAGUUAAGACGAGCAUCGUUGAAUUAUCAUCAAAUAUGAUCAAAAAUGUUGGUCCUCUCGUGUUUUUCAUGGUGUGUUUGGCCCUAGCUCAGACUAAGGAUCCACCGUCCGGGGACAUACAUUUCCUGCUUUCAAAUAAUGCGACUGAUCAAGAUAAAUAUGCCGACUUGGACAGUUUGACCGAUGACGAGAUGCCAUGUGAUGGAAUAUGCCUCUGCAAAGCGCUAUUGACUCACGUUGUCAAACAGUUGCCGACAAAUGGCUCAGAACCUGAGGCUCAUUUAAAAAGUGUGAUACAUGACGCCUGUGAAAAGCUCAAAGUGCCGACAGAUAAAUGCACUGAAUUUGUGAAAACUCUCCAUAAGGUGGAACCUACCAAAGCUCCCAGUGGUGUGUAAUACCACACAGAUGGUGCAUUCAUGGAUACAAUGCUUGAAGUGGGCGCACAACACAGGAACAAUGAUAUUGAGGAAUUAUACAGUAGAAUAUACUGUAUCAGAUAUACUGAGGACAAUUGGACAUACAAACUUGUGUCCACACAUUCAUUUUCUAUGCUGUUUGGCUGCAUACUAAAUACACAGACCACACACUUUUUGUUGAUAUCCCUGUAAAAUGAAAAAAAUAAAAACAAUGUGAUUAUCUAAAAAAA